GUGCCAGCAGCCGCGGUAAUACGGAGGGUGCGAGCGUAAAUCGGAAUUACUGGGCGUAAAGCGUACGCAGGCGGUUUGUUAAGCGAGAUGUGAAAGCCCCGGGCUCAACCUGGGAACUGCAUUUCGAACUGGCAAACUAGAGUGUGAUAGAGGGUGGUAGAUUUUCAGGUGUAGCGGUGAAAUGCGUAGAGAUCUGAAGGAAUACCGAUGGCGAAGGCAGCCACCUGGGUCAACACUGACGCUCAUGUACGAAAGCGUGGGGAGCAAACAGGAUUAGAUACCCCAGUAGUCC
This 292-nucleotide ribosomal RNA is filed under the name uncultured prokaryote. Its description in RNAcentral is "partial 16S ribosomal RNA". It matches the Rfam family "Bacterial small subunit ribosomal RNA", at positions 505 to 796 of the family's 1533-position model. The record is from RNAcentral.